UGAUCCUGGGUAGCAACUGGCCAAGGGU
This 28-nucleotide non-coding RNA is filed under the name Homo sapiens (human). The record is from RNAcentral. Lineage: Eukaryota; Metazoa; Chordata; Mammalia; Primates; Hominidae.